UACGUAGGGGGCAAGCGUUGUCCGGAAUCAUUGGGCGUAAAGCGCGCGUAGGCGGCUAGAUCAGUCUGCUGUAAAAGUCAAAGGCUCAACCUUUGAAAGCCGGUGGAUACUGUCUAGCUAGAGUCCGGAAGAGGCGAGUGGAAUUCCUGGUGUAGCGGUGGAAUGCGCAGAUAUCAGGAGGAACACCGGUGGCGAAGGCGGGAUCCUGGGCCAGUACUGACGCUGAGGUGCGAAAGCGUGGGGAGCAAACAGG
Molecule: ribosomal RNA, 253 nt
Filed under: uncultured bacterium
Lineage: Bacteria
Description: partial 16S ribosomal RNA
Rfam family: Bacterial small subunit ribosomal RNA
Source: RNAcentral